Molecule: ribosomal RNA, 1346 nt
Filed under: uncultured bacterium
Lineage: Bacteria
Description: bacterial SSU rRNA
Rfam family: Bacterial small subunit ribosomal RNA
Source: RNAcentral
GACGAACGCUGGCGGCGUGCUUAACACAUGCAAGUCGAACGAUGAAGCCUAGCUUGCUAAGUGGAUUAGUGGCGAACGGGUGAGUAAUACGUGAGUGACCUACCUUUGACCCUGGGAUAAGCCUGGGAAACUGGGUCUAAUACCGGAUACGACCAAUCUCUGCAUGGGGUGUUGGUGGAAAGCGUUAUGGAGUGGUUUUAGAUGGGCUCACGGCCUAUCAGCUUGUUGGUGAGGUAAUGGCUUACCAAGGCGACGACGGGUAGCCGGCCUGAGAGGGUGACCGGCCACACUGGGACUGAGACACGGCCCAGACUCCUACGGGAGGCAGCAGUAGGGAAUAUUGCACAAUGGGCGCAAGCCUGAUGCAGCGACGCCGCGUGAGGGAUGACGGCCUUCGGGUUGUAAACCUCUGUUAGCAUCGAAGAAGCGAAAGUGACGGUAGGUGCAGAGAAAGCGCCGGCUAACUACGUGCCAGCAGCCGCGGUAAUACGUAGGGCGCGAGCGUUGUCCGGAAUUAUUGGGCGUAAAGAGCUUGUAGGCGGUUGGUCGCGUCUGCUGUGAAGGCCGGGGCUUAACUCCGGUUUUGCAGUGGGUACGGGCUAACUAGAGUGCAGUAGGGGAGACUGGAAUUCCUGGUGUAGCGGUGGAAUGCACAGAUAUCAGGAGGAACACCGAUGGCGAAGGCAGGUCUCUGGGCUGUAACUGACGCUGAGAAGCGAAAGCAUGGGGAGCGAACAGGAUUAGAUACCCUGGUAGUCCAUGCCGUAAACGUUGGGCACUAGGUGUGGGGGACAUUCCACGUUUUCCGCGCCGUAGCUAACGCAUUAAGUGCCCCGCCUGGGGAGUACGGCCGCAAGGCUAAAACUCAAAGGAAUUGACGGGGGCCCGCACAAGCGGCGGAGCAUGCGGAUUAAUUCGAUGCAACGCGAAGAACCUUACCAAGGCUUGACAUGCAUUAGAUCGCGUCAGAGAUGGCGUUUCCCUUCGGGGCUGGUGUACAGGUGGUGCAUGGUUGUCGUCAGCUCGUGUCGUGAGAUGUUGGGUUAAGUCCCGCAACGAGCGCAACCCUCGUUCUAUGUUGCCAGCGGUUCGGCCGGGGACUCAUAGGAGACUGCCGGGGUUAACUCGGAGGAAGGUGGGGAUGACGUCAAAUCAUCAUGCCCCUUAUGUCUUGGGCUUCACGCAUGCUACAAUGGCCGGUACAGAGGGUUGCGAUACUGUGAGGUGGAGCUAAUCGCUUGAAAGCCGGUCGUAGUUCGGAUUGGGGUCUGCAACUCGACCCCAUGAAGUCGGGGUCGCUAGUAAUCGCAGAUCAGCAAUGCUGCGGUGAAUACGUUCCCGGGCCU